AAUGAACGUUGGCGGCAUGGAUUAGGCAUGCAAGUCGUGCGAGAAGUCUUUUGCUUGCAUUAGACGGAAAGCGGCGAAAGGGAGAGUAACGCGUGGUUUAUCUACCCCGGGGUCCGGAAUAGCUGUGGGAAACUGCAGGUAAUGCCGGAUAACAUCUACGGAUCAAAGGUGUGAUUCCGCCCUGGGAGGGGACCGCGUCCUAUUAGCUUGUUGGUGGGGUAAUGGCCUACCAAGGCAACGAUGGGUACCGGGCGUGAGAGCGUGACCCGGCUCACUGGGACUGAGACACUGCCCAGACACCUACGGGUGGCUGCAGUCGAGAAUCUUCGGCAAUGGGCGCAAGCCUGACCGAGCAAUGCCGCGUGCGGGAUGAAGGCCUUCGGGUUGUAAACCGCUGUCAGUUGGGAGGAAAUGCCAUGGGGUACUCUCCAUGGUUUGACCUAUCUUCAGAGGAAGGGCGGGCUAAGUUCGUGCCAGCAGCCGCGGUAAGACGAACCGCCCAAACGUUAUUCGGAAUUACUGGGCUUAAAGGGUGCGUAGGCGGUGCGGUAAGUUGGAUGUGAAAUCCCUCGGCUCAACCGAGGAACUGCGUUCAAUACUG
Molecule: ribosomal RNA, 601 nt
Filed under: uncultured bacterium
Lineage: Bacteria
Description: bacterial SSU rRNA
Rfam family: Bacterial small subunit ribosomal RNA
Source: RNAcentral